CCAGCCUAGGCGCGUCACACCGUCAACGCUGCAGACCCGAAAGCUUCUUCUACUCUUUGGAGACACAGGGAGGCCAAAGGCCUCCCUCAGGAUCACAGAGCAGCAGUCUUUUCUAUUUUGGAGGUCUGAGGGUUCAACACAGGGUUUGCAUGUGCCAGGCAACUGCUCUACCACUGAGCUCCAUCCCCAGCCUCUCCACUUUUAUUUUGAAACAGGCUCUCACUGAGUUGCCAAGGCUGGCCUGAAACUUGAAAUCUUCCUGCCUCAGCCUCUGGCGCAGCUGGGAUUACAGGUGUGCACCACCACACCUGGCUCAGAACAGCAGGCUGUAAUGGAGCAACUGGCACCUCCAGCCAGGAGACCACUCGCCUCUCCCAACGCCCUCGGGUGUUUCCCCUCAUAGAGGAAGGAGGAGAUGGAGCCAGGAGGCAGCACAUCCACUCUGCGUAGACACAGGGCUCUGCCUACUGUUGUCUGUAGCGUCCCCGGGCGCUUGCAGCUGUUGAACACCCAUUUAUGAAUGAAGGCAAAGGUGCUCGCUUGGGCAGCACAAGUACUGAGAGUGGAGCGAUACAGAGAAGUGUGAGUGAAGGUGAAGAAGCCCUGGGCUUGGCAGAACUGACAGUGCCCAGAAACUCUGCCGCAGGCCUUGGAGACGACGCCUUCCCGCGGCUCGGGGUCCCCUUCAAUCUGCCCCUCCACUCAUCAUCGUCCCCGCCACCUCCGGGCCUUGGCACUUGCUGUCCCAAUUUGUUCCCCCAGCUCUCUGCAUGGAUAAGGUAGCUCUCACACAGGCUGCCCCUCUGAAGUUCACUAGCCUCGCGCAGAACCCGCACAGGGUGGUGUUAUCUCCGCCGCCUCAGCUAGACGGUAAGACCCGGAAGAUGAGACUGCAUCUUUGCUUCACAACUCUACGCCCUAGACUAGAACAGUGAACACGCACUUGGUAAACAAUAAAUGCCUACGAGGAAGGGUGAGCCACACGCCCGUGGAGCGCAAGGGUCUCUCCCUAGGAACACCAGGGCCGGGCCAGGAUAAGUGGCCAGCGCCAGGAAGAGGGGUGCCGCGCAGAGGGCGCUGUUCCGGGGCAGCAGUGCUGAAGACACAGGGGCCGGGGCCCAGCAGGCCACUCUGCCGCCUCCCGAGGGACAGGAUGUGGGUAUUAAGAGAAGGAGCGCUAGAGGGAGCUCCUCCACUGAGGGGGUGUGAAGGGGGUGCCUUGAGAAUCGCCAAGGAGGUUGCAGGAGGGGAAAAGACAUUCCUGGUAUGGACCAGAAUAAAAGCAUUUUUCACCAACAAAGGGGUCUCUGGGGGCGGCUCGUGUAUGGACAGAGAGUAGGGGGCAGUUCGGGCGCAAAGCACUAAUGCACCUCUCCCGGGAACCAUCCUUUAGCGGGGGGACUCGGCCCCUGUAAUGGGUUCAGCAGCAGCUGCCCUAGGACGGGGAGCGAUCCUGGUGUCACUGGCGGGGGGCUGUCCUGCACCAAGCAGCAAGGGGCUAUGUGCAAGAGAUCCCAAGAGAAAGCAUUAGUGGGAGCCCUGGCAGUUGGGCCGUCACGAAUGGGGGCGCUUUGCAGGCGUCCACCCUGGGCUGCCCACAGGCAAAGACUGAAUGGCCUUAUGGAGAGCAGCGGUUGGGGUCCCCUGGCUAGGCCCGGCGGAGGCACUGGCGCUGAGGGGCGUCCCGGGGACCGCUGCAGGCCAGGACGGGGCCCCCCGCCCCCGCUGUCCCCGGGCCGCGCGCCCGUCACUCACCGGCGCCGGGGUCUCCGCCGGGAGGAGGCCUAGGGAGGCGGAGGAGGCGCCGCCGCUCCGGGGAGACCCGAGACCCCGACCGGA
Molecule: long non-coding RNA, 1839 nt
Organism: Heterocephalus glaber (naked mole-rat)
Lineage: Eukaryota; Metazoa; Chordata; Mammalia; Rodentia; Bathyergidae
Source: Ensembl